GCCCGCGUAGUUCAGUGGUAGAACAGCAGUUUUGUAAACUGCGUGUCCGGAGUUCGAUUCUCCGCGUGGGCU
RNAcentral lists this transfer RNA (72 nucleotides) under Methylobacter sp. Its description in RNAcentral is "tRNA-Thr". It matches the Rfam family "tRNA". Rfam says of the family: Transfer RNA (tRNA) molecules are approximately 80 nucleotides in length. Their secondary structure includes four short double-helical elements and three loops (D, anti-codon, and T loops). Further hydrogen bonds mediate the characteristic L-shaped molecular structure. tRNAs have two regions of fundamental functional importance: the anti-codon, which is responsible for specific mRNA codon recognition, and the 3' end, to which the tRNAs corresponding amino acid is attached (by aminoacyl-tRNA synthetases). tRNAs cope with the degeneracy of the genetic code in two manners: having more than one tRNA (with a specific anti-codon) for a particular amino acid; and 'wobble' base-pairing, i.e. permitting non-standard base-pairing at the 3rd anti-codon position. The record is from RNAcentral. Lineage: Bacteria; Pseudomonadati; Pseudomonadota; Gammaproteobacteria; Methylococcales; Methylococcaceae.